AUUAGAGUUUGAUCAUGGCUCAGGACGAACGCUGGCGGCGUGCUUAACACAUGCAAGUCGAACGAUGAAGCCCAGCUUGCUGGGUGGAAGAGUGGCGAACGGGUGAGUAACACGUGAGUAACCUGCCCUUCACUCUGGGAUAAGCGCUGGAAACGGCGUCUAAUACUGGAUACGACCCUUACAGGCAUCUGUUGGGGGUGGAAAGAUUUAUCGGUGAAGGAUGGGCUCGCGGCCUAUCAGGUAGUUGGUGAGGUAACGGCUCACCAAGCCGACGACGGGUAGCCGGCCUGAGAGGGUGACCGGCCACACUGGGACUGAGACACGGCCCAGACUCCUACGGGAGGCAGCAGUGGGGAAUAUUGCACAAUGGGCGAAAGCCUGAUGCAGCAACGCCGCGUGAGGGAUGACGGCCUUCGGGUUGUAAACCUCUUUUAGUAGGGAAGAAGCGAAAGUGACGGUACCUGCAGAAAACGCACCGGCUAACUACGUGCCAGCAGCCGCGGUAAUAAU
RNAcentral lists this ribosomal RNA (510 nucleotides) under uncultured bacterium. RNAcentral describes it as "bacterial SSU rRNA". It matches the Rfam family "Bacterial small subunit ribosomal RNA", at positions 1 to 526 of the family's 1533-position model. The record is from RNAcentral.